Non-coding RNA from Dendrothele bispora CBS 962.96, 85 nucleotides. NCBI's taxonomy places the organism in Eukaryota, Fungi, Basidiomycota, Agaricomycetes, Agaricales. The record is from the annotation of a GenBank genome assembly.
GGCCUAAUGGUCUAGUAGUAUGAUUCUCGCUUUGGGAGGUCACUUCACUUGCGAGAGGUCCUGGGUUCAAUUCCCAGUUAGGCCC